RNAcentral lists this ribosomal RNA (253 nucleotides) under uncultured prokaryote. Its description in RNAcentral is "partial 16S ribosomal RNA". It matches the Rfam family "Bacterial small subunit ribosomal RNA", at positions 525 to 777 of the family's 1533-position model. The record is from RNAcentral.
ACAGAGGGUGCAAGCGUUGUUCGGAAUUAUUGGGCGUAAAGGGCUCGUAGGCGGCCAACUAAGUCGGAUGUGAAAUCCCCAGGCUUAACCUGGGAACUGCAUCCGAUACUGGAUGGCUUGAAUUCGGGAGAGGGAUGCGGAAUUCCAGGUGUAGCGGUGAAAUGCGUAGAUAUCUGGAGGAAUACCGGUGGCGAAGGCGGCAUCCUGGACCGACAUUGACGCUGAGGAGCGAAAGCUAGGGGAGCAAACGGGA